RNAcentral lists this ribosomal RNA (254 nucleotides) under uncultured bacterium. RNAcentral describes it as "partial 16S ribosomal RNA". It matches the Rfam family "Bacterial small subunit ribosomal RNA", at positions 524 to 776 of the family's 1533-position model. The record is from RNAcentral.
GACGUAGGGUGCGAGCGUUGUCCGGAUUUAUUGGGCGUAAAGGGCGCGUAGGCGGCCAUUCAAGUCGGAGGUGAAAGCCCAGGGCUCAACCCCUGGAAUUGCCUUCGAUACUGUUUGGCUAGAGACCGGAAGAGGUAAGUGGAACUGCGAGUGUAGAGGUGAAAUUCGUAGAUAUUCGCAAGAACACCAGUGGCGAAGGCGGCUUACUGGUCCGGUUCUGACGCUGAGGCGCGAAAGCGUGGGGAGCGAACAGG